This is a long non-coding RNA of Vitis vinifera (wine grape), 744 nucleotides long. RefSeq lists it as uncharacterized. NCBI's taxonomy places the organism in Eukaryota, Viridiplantae, Streptophyta, Magnoliopsida, Vitales, Vitaceae. The transcript is spliced from 3 exons. The record is from RefSeq and is a predicted model, not a curated record.
UUUGUUUUGUUGUCAUAUUUAUUUCCAAACAUAAGUGACUUUAACUUCUUCUUGUUCAAACAUACCAGAAGAGCCCUAUGUUAUUUACAAUAAACAUUAAUCCUUCUUAGCUUAUUCAUUAUGUACUAUAUCUAAGCUUUUACAUUCCUCUCCUGUCCCUUUUUCUCUUCCCAUUCUCAGCUUCUCCUUGUUGGACUACAGAUAUAUACGGACUUUUUGAAGAAACCAACUUUCUAGCAUUCAUAGAUUACUUGGGAACUGUUUUUGAGGUGAUGGAAGAGGACAUGUUCUGCUACAUUCAUGAAGGCGGUCAACUAGUUAAAUGUGUUGGAGGGUUUGUUCCAUAUCAGGGUGGUCGUAGCAAAUCGAUGGUUGUUCGCCGACAUAUGUCACAUAGUGAUUUCGUUUCAAAACUAUGUGAUGCACUGCACUUUGACCAAAAUUCUAUCAAAUUGGAAUUCAAGGUCAAGUUUGAGCCAUCAUGUCUACUACCGUUGCAUGAUGAUGCAACCCUACUUAAGAUGUUUCGAUUCAACGAAAUGUUUUGUCACGUCUAUGUCUCAUCAUCAAGUGAAGUUGUUGAAGGCUAUAUAGCACCGAAUAGUGCCCCUUCUCCUAUUGUUGGUUCGAAUUCUGCACACCUACUUCCAUUCGGUGGCAAUCUGCCAAUUAAUAUCUGUAAUGACUCUCUUACAAUUGAGUCGUAUGGGUUUUCCCAUAGAUGUGCGGAAGCAGAUAUACUCG